Molecule: ribosomal RNA, 485 nt
Filed under: uncultured bacterium
Lineage: Bacteria
Description: partial 16S ribosomal RNA
Rfam family: Bacterial small subunit ribosomal RNA
Source: RNAcentral
AUUGAACGCUGGCGGCAUGCCUUACACAUGCAAGUCGAACGGCAGCACGGGUGCUUGCACCUGGUGGCGAGUGGCGAACGGGUGAGUAAUACAUCGGAACAUGUCCUGUAGUGGGGGAUAGCCCGGCGAAAGCCGGAUUAAUACCGCAUACGAUCUACGGAUGAAAGCGGGGGACCUUCGGGCCUCGCGCUAUAGGGUUGGCCGAUGGCUGAUUAGCUAGUUGGUGGGGUAAAGGCCUACCAAGGCGACGAUCAGUAGCUGGUCUGAGAGGACGACCAGCCACACUGGGACUGAGACACGGCCCAGACUCCUACGGGAGGCAGCAGUGGGGAAUUUUGGACAAUGGGCGAAAGCCUGAUCCAGCAAUGCCGCGUGUGUGAAGAAGGCCUUCGGGUUGUAAAGCACUUUUGUCCGGAAAGAAAUCCUUGGCCCUAAGACGGUCGGGGGAUGACGGUACCGGAAGAAUAAACACCGGCUAACUACGU